Long non-coding RNA from Zalophus californianus (California sea lion), 479 nucleotides. RefSeq lists it as uncharacterized. The transcript has 4 exons. The record is from RefSeq and is a predicted model, not a curated record. Lineage: Eukaryota; Metazoa; Chordata; Mammalia; Carnivora; Otariidae.
CGCGGCUAGAGGGAGCAGCCCUGGACACAGUGCACGUGGGAGAACAAAGGCUGAUUCUCCCAACUCUUCUGGAACCUAAUCUUUGUUACUAAUGUAUUCUAAGACGGUUACCUGCAAUGGUAAAAGUCUCGAGGUCAGUCAUCUGCAAAGGUUCUCCUUGCCUGCAGUGGGCAGUCUGUGGACCUUGGCCAGAGUGAGCUUUUCACUAGGUAUUCAGAUCAGGAAGAUAACAGAUCUCCGGCUUGAACUCUGAAAGCAGAAGUCCUUGAGAAGCCUUUAAGGAUUGGAUCCUUUCAAGGCUGAAAUUGCUGUUCUCAUCAGCUUGCUAGAAGAAUGACUAGAUGGAGGAAUUCACCACAAAAGGAAGAACCAGAAGUAAUACCCUCUGCCAUAGAUUUAUAUGGAUAUAUGGAUAUAAGUAAAAUGUUGGACAUGGAAUUCAGAAUAAUGAUUAUAAAGAUACUACUAGCUGGGCUUGA